Molecule: ribosomal RNA, 494 nt
Filed under: uncultured bacterium
Lineage: Bacteria
Description: partial 16S ribosomal RNA
Rfam family: Bacterial small subunit ribosomal RNA
Source: RNAcentral
GACGAACGCUGGCGGCGUGCUUAACACAUGCAAGUCGAACGGAAAGGCCUGCUUUCCCUUGUGGAUUGCGGGUACUCGAGUGGCGAACGGGUGAGUAACACGUGAGUGAUCUGCCCCCAACUUGGGUAUAAGCCUGGGAAACUGGGUCUAAUUCCCGAUAGGACUGCAGGGUGGUGCCUGUGGUGGAAAACGAUUUUCUAGUGGUUGGGGAUGAGCUCGCGGCCUAUCAGCUUGUUGGUGGGGUAAUGGCCUACCAAGGCGGCGACGGGUAGCCGGCCUGAGAGGGUGGACGGCCAGAUUGGGACUGAGAUACGGCCCAGACUCCUACGGGAGGCAGCAGUGGGGAAUAUUGCACAAUGGGCGGAAGCCUGAUGCAGCGACGCCGCGUGGGGGAUGACGGCCUUCGGGUUGUAAACUCCUUUCGACCGCGAGGAAGCCACCUGGUUGGAAGGGUGGUGACGGUAGUGGUAGAAGAAGCACCGGCUAACUACGUG